This 113-nucleotide ribosomal RNA is filed under the name Rhynchobatus mononoke (Japanese wedgefish). RNAcentral's name for it is "partial 16S rRNA". The record is from RNAcentral. Lineage: Eukaryota; Metazoa; Chordata; Chondrichthyes; Rhinopristiformes; Rhynchobatidae.
ACCUUAAAGCUAGUCUAAACACCUAAAAAACACAACAAUAUUUUAAACCAAUUACCUUUUAAAACCCAACUUAAAACAUUUUUAUCUUCCUAGUAUAGGCGAUAGAACGGAAA